Molecule: unclassified non-coding RNA, 3200 nt
Filed under: Hevea brasiliensis (rubber tree)
Lineage: Eukaryota; Viridiplantae; Streptophyta; Magnoliopsida; Malpighiales; Euphorbiaceae
Source: RNAcentral
CUCAAGCAAGCAACGGCGUACAAUAUCACACUUCAAAAAAUACAAAAAUAAUAAAUUUAUAAAACAUAAAUAUUCCCAAAAUUAAAAAAAAAAUCUCAACGCCAAGAGCUUCACGCUAGCUCUUUCCCCUCCUCCGCCACCAUCGCCGAGAGCUUCUUUAACCCAUAAGUAGCCAACUGCAUGUCCAUGACUCUCAUGUUUCAGAAAUGACCCGAACCCGGUUCUUUCGGAGCCGGACCGCCGAACCCGACGAGGACACUAUACCAACCACUUAUCGCAGUGGUGGAGGAGGAACCGCCAUGAGAAUUAUAGUACCGCUACAAGGCGUGGUUCAAGGCAGAGGUGGCCUUUUCUUAGGCUCAGUGAUACCUUGUGCUCUUUUCUACUUCUUUCAGCUUUAUUUAAAACGCAACCGUAAUGACCAGGCUGACUCAGAUGAUUCGAAUUCCCAGAAUCAGGCGCCACCAUCUCGGUCGGGAUCAGAGGGGCAGCUGAACGAACUUUCUGUGUUUACUCGGUCUACUUCUCGGAAUCUCGUCUCACCAAGAAGUCCUAGUGGAAGGGCUUAUGUGUCGAGUAGGGCCAAUGGGAUAGUGAAGAGUGGCGAUUCGCCUUACUUCGUUGGAUUGAGGAAGGUUAUCGAGGACCCUUAUGACGAGUCGGCUAACCCGAAUGGGGUUAUUCAACUUGGUCUGGCCGAGAACAAGUUAACAUUGGAUUUGGUGGAGGAGUGGCUUGUUGAGAAUGCAAAGCCAGCAAUACUGGGUGGUGGAGGGGAGGAGUUGAAUAUCAGUGGGAUUGCUACUUACCAGCCUGUUGAUGGAUUAAUUGAGUUAAAAGUGGUAAUUACUAUUUCAUUUCACAAUUUUUUUUUAUUAACGGUAAUGUGUUUUUAAGAUUGUCUGCUUCAGUUGAUUUAUAACAGGAUGAAUUUUCCUGUGAAAAAUGUUCCAUGUAUAUUCACCGGAAUUUAGUAUAGAAUUUUUUUUCUUUAGUUGAUAUAUACUUUGUCAGGAGGGAAUUUGAUAGGUGUUGGAAAUUGGAAUGAAUUGAAUUGUUUCAGAGUCAUAUUUAGCUUGCAACUGAUCUUGUAGAAGAUCAAUUGAAGAUUUAACUGUUUACAUAGUUUCUCUUUGUAUUUUCUUAAUAACUAUAGUUUGUGAUACUUUUUAUGCCUUCAUAGUUAAUCAAAUUGUUUAUGGUGGUAUGGCACAAUAGGACGCUAAAUCCUAACCAGUUAUCAUGUCUUGUGCAAGCUCUCUAUCUGUAAACAUCAUUCUUCAGUUAUGACAAUUGGGAUGAAUCUUUGCAUAAAUGGUUAAUGGCACUACAUGGGGCAAUGAGAAGUCGACAAUUGAAGGCCAUAUGAAACUUAAAGGAAUUCUGCAUUCAAAAUUCAUGAACAAUGGAAACCACCCAUUGUUUAUGACUUGGGUAACUUGCUGCACGUUGUUAAAAAGAUGAAUCUUUGCUGAAUGAAAUGUGAUUUCGGGGGUAAAUUGUCCAGAAGAAUAAUGCUCUCCAUAAUUUAGUUGACCAUUUAGCCCAAGAUGAAUUAUCCAUUGAAUUGGAUAUAUGUGUUAAGCUUACCUUCUUGUAGACUACUCGUGUAACUUGACUUCUAAAUAUUCAUUGCUUUAUUUAUUGCUAAUAAUUUGCUUUGUUUACAGUUUAUGUGAAAUUGGAUGUUUCUCCCUCUCUCUCUCUUGUGCAUCUACUGGAUCACACAAACUGUGCAGUCAAACUACAAGUCUUGUGACUUCUAGUCUGCUACAGUUGGGAUCAUUGCUUUAAUAUCAGUUAUAAGUGUUGGUUGGGCAUUAAUCAAAUGAUUUAGGCAUUUAUGUAUAGAUAAAGCAUUAAGUUUUUAAAUUAUGGUUCUUUCACUUUAAUGGGCUUGGAAUGUUGCUUUCUUGCAUAUGAUCAGCAUCUGUUUGUAGUCUUUUCUAAUUGCUCUUGCCCUGCAGGCUGUGGCAGGAUUUAUGUCUCAAAUAAUGGAAAAUGCAGUUUCCUUCAAUCCCUCACAGAUAGUGUUGACAGCAGGUGCAACUCCUGCAAUUGAGACGCUUAUCUUCUGUUUAGCAGAUGCUGGAAAUGCAUUUCUUGUUCCAACACCAUAUUACCCAGGGUUUGAUAGGGAUGUAAAAUGGCGAACCGGGGUGGAGAUAGUUCCUGUUCCCUGUCGUAGUGCUGACAACUUCAGUUUAAGUAUAACAGCACUUGAUCGAGCAUUCAACCAAGCAAAGAAACGUGGUCUUAAAGUUCGUGGGGUAAUAAUUUCAAACCCCUCAAAUCCUGUGGGCAAUCUGCUUGACCGGGAAACACUCUAUAGCCUUCUGGACUUUGCCAGGGAGAAGAACAUCCAUAUAGUGUGUAAUGAAAUAUUUGCUGGGUCCACUCAUGGAAGUGAAGAGUUUGUUAGCAUGGCAGAACUCAUUGAUUUAGAAGAUUCAGACAGGGACAGAGUGCAUAUAGUAUAUGGUCUAUCAAAUGAUCUGUCUCUGCCAGGUUUCAGGGUGGGCGUUUUGUACUCCUCCAAUGAGAAUGUUCUGGCUGCUGCUAAGAAGUUGACAAGGUUCUCAUCCAUUUCAGCUCCAACCCAGCGUCUACUUAUCUCCAUGCUUUCAGAUACGAAAUUUGUUCAAAUUUUCAUUCGGAUUAAUAGGGAGAGGCUGCAAAAUAUGUAUGUUAAAUUUGCAUUGGGAUUGAAGCAACUGGGCAUAAAGUGCACGAAAGGCAGUGGAGGUUUCUACUGUUGGGCUGAUAUGAGUGAGUUAAUCAGCUCUUACAGUGAGAAGGGGGAGCUUGAGCUAUGGGAAAAAUUGUUGAAUACAGCUAAGCUCAAUUCAACUCCUGGAUCUUCCUGUCAUUGUAUUGAACCUGGAUGGUUCAGAUUCUGUUUUACCACAUUAACUGAAAGAGACAUUCCUGUUGUUAUGGACAGAAUUCAGAAAAUUGCUGAAACCUGUAAAUCUUGCAGCUGAAACGUUCAGUUAUUUGACAGUUAAAUUGCAUAUAGAUUUUUUGGAUGUAGAUAAAUUUGGUGCAGUAGCUUGUUUAAUAAUGGCAGUGGACAAUGUUAGUAUAUACAAGAUUCCUUAACAACGACAUAGAGUGGUAUUGCUUUUGCAAAUGAUUGAUGCUGAAAAUAUGAGCAAUGUUCAUAUUUCUUUCUCCUCUUAAUUUUGAAUGAUUCUUUC